Molecule: ribosomal RNA, 1326 nt
Filed under: Arthrobacter sp. SIIB_Cu_R2
Lineage: Bacteria; Bacillati; Actinomycetota; Actinomycetes; Micrococcales; Micrococcaceae
Description: bacterial SSU rRNA
Rfam family: Bacterial small subunit ribosomal RNA
Source: RNAcentral
AACCUGCCCUUAACUCUGGGAUAAGCCUGGGAAACUGGGUCUAAUACCGGAUAUGACUCCUCAUCGCAUGGUGGGGGGUGGAAAGCUUUAUUGUGGUUUUGGAUGGACUCGCGGCCUAUCAGCUUGUUGGUGAGGUAAUGGCUCACCAAGGCGACGACGGGUAGCCGGCCUGAGAGGGUGACCGGCCACACUGGGACUGAGACACGGCCCAGACUCCUACGGGAGGCAGCAGUGGGGAAUAUUGCACAAUGGGCGAAAGCCUGAUGCAGCGACGCCGCGUGAGGGAUGACGGCCUUCGGGUUGUAAACCUCUUUCAGUAGGGAAGAAGCGAAAGUGACGGUACCUGCAGAAGAAGCGCCGGCUAACUACGUGCCAGCAGCCGCGGUAAUACGUAGGGCGCAAGCGUUAUCCGGAAUUAUUGGGCGUAAAGAGCUCGUAGGCGGUUUGUCGCGUCUGCCGUGAAAGUCCGGGGCUCAACUCCGGAUCUGCGGUGGGUACGGGCAGACUAGAGUGAUGUAGGGGAGACUGGAAUUCCUGGUGUAGCGGUGAAAUGCGCAGAUAUCAGGAGGAACACCGAUGGCGAAGGCAGGUCUCUGGGCAUUAACUGACGCUGAGGAGCGAAAGCAUGGGGAGCGAACAGGAUUAGAUACCCUGGUAGUCCAUGCCGUAAACGUUGGGCACUAGGUGUGGGGGACAUUCCACGUUUUCCGCGCCGUAGCUAACGCAUUAAGUGCCCCGCCUGGGGAGUACGGCCGCAAGGCUAAAACUCAAAGGAAUUGACGGGGGCCCGCACAAGCGGCGGAGCAUGCGGAUUAAUUCGAUGCAACGCGAAGACCCUUACCAAGGCUUGACAUGAACCGGAAACACCUGGAAACAGGUGCCCCGCUUGCGGUCGGUUUACAGGUGGUGCAUGGUUGUCGUCAGCUCGUGUCGUGAGAUGUUGGGUUAAGUCCCGCAACGAGCGCAACCCUCGUUCCUAUGUUGCCAGCGCGUGAUGGCGGGGACUCAUAGGAGACUGCCGGGGUCAACUCGGAGGAAGGUGGGGACGACGUCAAAUCAUCAUGCCCCUUAUGUCUUGGGCUUCACGCAUGCUACAAUGGCCGGUACAAAGGGUUGCGAUCCUGUGAGGUGGAGCUAAUCCCAAAAACCCGGUCUCAGUUCGGAUUGGGGUCUGCAACUCGACCCCAUGAAGUCGGAGUCGCUAGUAAUCGCAGAUCAGCAACGCUGCGGUGAAUACGUUCCCGGGCCUUGUACACACCGCCCGUCAAGUCACGAAAGUUGGUAACACCCGAAGCCGGUGGCCUAACCCCUUGCGCCGGAGGCCCC